This 480-nucleotide ribosomal RNA is filed under the name uncultured Cryomorphaceae bacterium. RNAcentral's name for it is "bacterial SSU rRNA". It matches the Rfam family "Bacterial small subunit ribosomal RNA", at positions 28 to 505 of the family's 1533-position model. The record is from RNAcentral. Lineage: Bacteria; Pseudomonadati; Bacteroidota; Flavobacteriia; Flavobacteriales; Cryomorphaceae.
GAUGAACGCUAGCGGCAGGCCUAACACAUGCAAGUCGAACGGUAACAGUUCCUUCGGGAAGCUGACGAGUGGCGCACGGGUGCGUAACGCGUAUGCAACCUACCUCUAUCAGGGAGAUAGCCCGGAGAAAUUCGGAUUAAUAUCCCAUAGUAUUGUUGAUUGGCAUCUAUUAACAAUUAAAGCUUCGGCGGAUAGAGAUGGGCAUGCGUCCUAUUAGCUAGUUGGUAAGGUAACGGCUUACCAAGGCAACGAUAGGUAGGGGGCCUGAGAGGGUGAUCCCCCACACUGGUACUGAGACACGGACCAGACUCCUACGGGAGGCAGCAGUGAGGAAUAUUGGUCAAUGGGCGAAAGCCUGAACCAGCCAUGCCGCGUGCAGGAUGACUGCCCUAUGGGUUGUAAACUGCUUUUAUACAGGAAUAAACCCCCGGACGUGUCCGGGGCUGAAGGUACUGUAAGAAUAAGGAUCGGCUAACUCCG